Molecule: ribosomal RNA, 254 nt
Filed under: uncultured bacterium
Lineage: Bacteria
Description: partial 16S ribosomal RNA
Rfam family: Bacterial small subunit ribosomal RNA
Source: RNAcentral
UACGGGGGGAGCAAGCGUUGUUCGGAUUUACUGGGCGUAAAGGGCGCGUAGGCGGUCAGCACAAGUCAGUUGUGAAAUCUCCGGGCUUAACCCGGAACGGUCAACUGAUACUGUGCGACUAGAGUGCGGAAGGGGCAACUGGAAUUCUCGGUGUAGCGGUGAAAUGCGUAGAUAUCGAGAGGAACACCUGCGGCGAAGGCGGGUUGCUGGGCAGUUGCUGACACUGAGGCGCGACAGCGUGGGGAGCAAACAGG